GAACGCUGGCGGCGUGCCUAAUACAUGCAAGUCGAGCGGACCAGAUCGGAGCUUGCUCUGAUUUGGUCAGCGGCGGACGGGUGAGUAACACGUGGGCAACCUGCCCGCAAGACCGGGAUAACUCCGGGAAACCGGACCUAAUACCGGAUGACACCGAAGACCGCAUGGUCUUUGGUUGAAAGGCGGCCUUUGGGCUGUCACUUGCGGAUGGGCCCGCGGCGCAUUAGCUAGUUGGUGAGGUAACGGCUCACCAAGGCGACGAUGCGUAGCCGGCCUGAGAGGGUGACCGGACACACUGGGACUGAUACACGGCCCAGACUCCUACGGGAGGCAGCAGUAGGGAAUCUUCCGCAAUGGGCGAAAGCCUGACGGAGCGACGCCGCGUGAGCGAAGAAGGCCUUCGGGUCGUAAAGCUCUGUUGUGAGGGACGAAGGAGCGCCGUUCGAAGAGGGCGGCGCGGUGACAGUACCUCACGAGGAAGCCCCGGCUAACUACGUGACAACAGCCGCGGUAAUACGUAGGGGGCGAGCGUUGUCCGGAAUUAU
RNAcentral lists this ribosomal RNA (545 nucleotides) under uncultured organism. Its description in RNAcentral is "SSU rRNA". It matches the Rfam family "Bacterial small subunit ribosomal RNA", at positions 31 to 554 of the family's 1533-position model. The record is from RNAcentral.